UUGUGAUGUGUUUAUUUUCAAAUGGUAAUUGGAUCUAUAAAACAAGAUACUUGGAAACUGGCGGUACCAUACAAAGUCAAGGUUGGUUUUCUUUAGCAUAAGUAAUCUGACAUGACAUUCAGUUUGAGAUGCCUGAAGAAGUGCUUGCCUCAAGAAAGAAUAAAGACUAAGAGGUCCAAGAUAACCAUCCAAGAAAUUAAACUGAUGACAGCAGGCCCUGAAAAGGUCAGAAGGGAAAUUUUAAGUCAACCAGUAAUUCCAGAUUUCACUUUGGAGAGCCAUCUUCUUCCCCCAGACAAACAUAACUUUUGUGGAGGUCUCAAUAAUUUUGAACUGCAAACACUCAAUUAGUUAUUCACACAGUCUUCCAUUAUGGUUAGUUGAUUUGCAUUCAUUUUAUGUUAACACAGCCUGAAUGACUGAUUUUAAGCCAUUCCUGAUGUAUAACCAUCAAAGGAAGAGGAAGAAAUCUCAUAAUUUUAAAUAUGCAUAGAGAUCCCUGUGUAGCUUUAAAAUGAUGGCUGUUUUAUGGUGUCAUCCAUUGUAUAUUUCAGCAUCAUUAGCAGAAAAGGUCAAGUAAUAUUUACUUACAUUAGACAGGAACCUCAUGAAACUAUCACCAUGAAACUAUUUCUGAGACUCCAAAACUGAUUCAUGUGCAAUAUUGGUUCAUUCAUUGUUCAAUGAAAGCAUAAAAACUGCUUUACAGUUCCAGCUUGGCACUUGUCCUCAUGUAUAGAUCCUUUGUUUAGGCAAAACUAAUUUAAUUGAAUAAGAAGCUCCAUUCUUCUUCAUGCAGACAAUAUUAUAAAAUUUAAAAUAAAAUUAUAAAAUGUGUUUGAGAGAUUGAAAGUUCAUUAGCUUUGUCCUUAAAAUUAAUGUGCUAUAUAUAAUAAAUAUUAGUCUGCUUUCUGUGCAGAGAAACAAUCUAAUUUUUAGCUUGCCUUAUUUUUUUGCAAUUUUGAACUCAGGUCAAAAACUCAGUUGGUAUUUGGUUUGUUCAGAGGUGAAAAUGUCACAUCCAAUAAACAGGAGAAGAAUCAUCAUAAUUCUAAAUAUUUGUUUCUCAGUUUAUCAUAGAUGACUUAUUAAUAUAUAUAUGUGGAAAUUUGCUAGAUUAUUAUAUUUAGCACCUUGUAUAGACAAGUUGGCUAUUCAAAACCUUUAUGGCAAAUCCAAACUUCCUUAACCGAGACAUUUAAUGAGAUAAUUGCGAGAAAAAAUAUUCCCUGUUUUAUUUGAGGAUAAAAUUUCUGAUUUUAGAAAGAGCCCUGAAAUACUUCAGUCCUUAAAAGUUAUUUUAAUGUAUUCACUGUUAGACUCCUUGUUAACCUUUUCUCAUUUGAGAUACUCCCUCCCAUCCUCUCCAUCAUUAUACUUUUUGUCAGAAUUUUGCUGAAGUAGAUUUGGUAAAACUCAUUGUAUAAAUAUGGAAGAAAAAUUCUCCCUAUUGAGUACAAUUUUGCUUUAUAACUAAUUUUAGAUUCUGAUAAGAGGAAAAUCUAUGCAAGAUUCCUACCAAUAAAAUGGCACCUAGUACUAAA
Long non-coding RNA from Pogoniulus pusillus (Red-fronted tinkerbird), 1544 nucleotides. RefSeq lists it as uncharacterized. The record is from RefSeq and is a predicted model, not a curated record. The transcript has 3 exons. Lineage: Eukaryota; Metazoa; Chordata; Aves; Piciformes; Lybiidae.